UCUCCGUUGGUGAACCAGCGGAGGGAUCAUUACCGAGUUUACAACUCCCAAACCCCUGUGAACAUUACCACUGUUGCUUCGGCGGACGGCGCGAGCCGCCCGUCGAGGGUCUAAACUAUUGUCUUUGAACGAGUAUUCCGAGUGGCACAAGCAAAUAAAUCAAAACUUUCAACAACGGAUCUCUUGGUUCUGGCAUCGAUGAAGAACGCAGC
Molecule: unclassified non-coding RNA, 212 nt
Filed under: uncultured fungus
Lineage: Eukaryota; Fungi
Description: sequence contains ITS1, 5.8S rRNA gene
Rfam family: 5.8S ribosomal RNA (bases 164-212)
Source: RNAcentral